Molecule: long non-coding RNA, 562 nt
Filed under: Homo sapiens (human)
Lineage: Eukaryota; Metazoa; Chordata; Mammalia; Primates; Hominidae
Description: HSALNT0226597
Source: RNAcentral
CUGCUACGAAGAAGAUGCCGGUGAAGCUAGAACAGGGAGCCCAGUCAGAGCGAGAGGCAAUAGCCUCUGAGGAAGGAGACCUGGGCUGGAGACAGUGGAGGUUACGCAGGGGCCCGAGGCAUGACUGCAGGGCUCCGUCCCAGGGUCACUGUCCUGGGAUCUGCUGCUCCCCUGACAAGCCUUGGGGGCCUCUCUGUGUGAGGCCAGAACGCAGGGCAAAAUGUCCACCAGCUGCGGGAUGGAUAAACACAUGUGGUCCAUGCAGGGGAAUAUUAUUCAGCCAUGAAAAAGAACAAAGCAGGGACACACACCACAUGGACAAACCCAGCAAACGUUACCGCGAGGGAAAUCACCUAGACACAGAAGGCCACUUGUCCGAUGACGCCAUUUAUAUGGAAUGUACAGAAUGGGAAACAUCCAUGGACAGAAAGUAGACUACUGGGGGUCAUCUAGCGCUGAGGAAGUUGGGGGGAACGGGAGGGUGACAGCUGAGGGGUGUGUUGUCCCUUUGGGGAAAGUGAAAAUGUCAUCAAUUUGAUUGUUGUGAUGACAAGCACAACUG